Long non-coding RNA from Bos taurus (domestic cattle), 699 nucleotides. The record is from Ensembl. Lineage: Eukaryota; Metazoa; Chordata; Mammalia; Artiodactyla; Bovidae.
CAAGAAGAUAGGAAAGGAACAAAAGAAGGAAAGAAAUCACCAAUUGUGUAAACUUGGGCUAGAUACUUAAAUUCUUUGGAACUCAGUUUCCUCACCUGCUUAUCUCAGAUAAGUCUCAAGUGAGAUAAUACAGGAGAAUACAUUCUAAUUGCAGAGAGCUGUAGAACUACACAGCCUCUAUUUUCAGUAGCCAGAAGUCAAUGAAGUAACCCCACAGGCCUUUGACCUGAGAAUUUUCAGGUAGAGACUUCUUCAUGGAUAAUCCUGAAGAGAUAAAUGCAAGGCAGAGAAGAAUGGGGUAGUCAAAGAUGAGUGUUGCAAAGAAAUACUUCUCUGCCUCCCACCAGGGACCAGAAGUUUCACCGCCUUUUUCCAGACCUCUAGGAGAACUGGUUGGAUGAGGUGGUUGGAUGGCAUCACCGACUCAAUGGACAUGAGUUUGGGUAGACUCCAGGAGUUGGUGAUGGACAGGGAGGCCUGGCGUGCUGCAGUCCAUGGGGUCACAAAGAAUUGGACACAACUGAGCGACUGAACUGAACUGAACUGAAGGACAACUAUUCCUCCCUGGUUAGAACUGAUGAUCUUCCCCUGGAUGGACUUACAGGCCAAAAUGCAAUCAAGCUUAGGAGCUUCUGGCUCCAGUCACAACUGCAAGUGAGGCAUACCUCAGCAAUAUUGUGGGUUUUGUUCCAGACUAAC